This 253-nucleotide ribosomal RNA is filed under the name uncultured bacterium. RNAcentral's name for it is "partial 16S ribosomal RNA". It matches the Rfam family "Bacterial small subunit ribosomal RNA", at positions 524 to 776 of the family's 1533-position model. The record is from RNAcentral.
UACAGAGGUCUCAAGCGUUGUUCGGAUUCAUUGGGCGUAAAGUGUGCGCAGGCGGCCGCGCAAGUCGAGUGUGAAAGCCCCGAGCUUAACUUGGGAAUUGCGCUCGAAACUACGUGGCUGGAGUGUGGCAGAGGAAGGUGGAAUUCCACGUGUAGCGGUGAAAUGCGUAGAGAUGUGGAGGAACACCAAUGGCGAAGGCAGCCUUCUGGGCCAACACUGACGCUCAUGCACGAAAGCGUGGGGAGCAAACAGG